CGCUGGCGGCAUGCCUAACACAUGCAAGUCGAACGAACCCUUCGGGGUUAGUGGCGCACGGGUGCGUAACACGUGGGAAUCUGCCCUUUGCUUCGGAAUAACAGUUAGAAAUGACUGCUAAUACCGGAUGAUGUCGUAAGACCAAAGAUUUAUCGGCAAAGGAUGAGCCCGCGUAGGAUUAGGUAGUUGGUGGGUAAAGGCCUACCAAGCCGACGAUCCUUAGCUGGUCUGAGAGGAUGAUCAGCCACACUGGGACUGAGACACGGCCCAGACUCCUACGGGAGGCAGCAGUGGGGAAUAUUGGACAAUGGGCGAAAGCCUGAUCCAGCAAUGCCGCGUGAGUGAUGAAGGCCUUCGGGUUGUAAAGCUCUUUUACCAGGGAUGAUAAUGACAGUACCUGGAGAAUAAGCUCCGGCUAACUCCGUG
Molecule: ribosomal RNA, 426 nt
Filed under: uncultured bacterium
Lineage: Bacteria
Description: bacterial SSU rRNA
Rfam family: Bacterial small subunit ribosomal RNA
Source: RNAcentral